UCCUAGUUGGUCCAGUGGUUAGGAUCGCCGCCUCUCAUGAGAAAUCAAGCGGCAAUUGUUCGAUUCCCUGAAUACGCG
Non-coding RNA from Jaminaea rosea, 78 nucleotides. NCBI's taxonomy places the organism in Eukaryota, Fungi, Basidiomycota, Exobasidiomycetes, Microstromatales. The record is from the annotation of a RefSeq genome assembly.